This is a long non-coding RNA of Daphnia pulicaria, 335 nucleotides long. RefSeq lists it as uncharacterized. The record is from RefSeq and is a predicted model, not a curated record. The transcript is spliced from 2 exons. NCBI's taxonomy places the organism in Eukaryota, Metazoa, Arthropoda, Branchiopoda, Diplostraca, Daphniidae.
CCAAGACAAGAGCUGUGGCGUCUACUUCUAAAAAUCAUGGCACUGCAAGGACAAACCAAGGAACAGACAACAACAGCAAUAAAGUUUUCCGGAAAAAGAUUAAUUCAGUAUAUUUCUUGAGAUAUGGUUGGUUUCAUUUAAUUUUCGUUAUACAAUUUUUUUUGUUCCCAUGCGUCCGCUUUGUUGACUUACAAUUUGUCCAUUUGAUCCCCUAAUUUUUUAGUUUCCUGUCAUUCUGAAUGUUCUGUUCUUAAAUUUGUUUUCUCCUUUUUGCAUAAUUUCAGUGUUGAUGUAAUAAAAUGACCUAGAAUAAUAUUACAAUGAUUGCAACAAGA